Non-coding RNA from Odocoileus virginianus texanus, 416 nucleotides. The record is from RefSeq and is a predicted model, not a curated record. NCBI's taxonomy places the organism in Eukaryota, Metazoa, Chordata, Mammalia, Artiodactyla, Cervidae.
CUGCUGCGUGUUUCUACCACCCACCAACUCACCUGACUGCUGAUGCUGAACAACCCCGCUCCUCCAGGACCUCCGAACAGACGGCUUUAAUCAUGUGUCUGACAAACAACUCUGACUUGCCAUGCAGAUGAGCCUGGCCUAGCCUGGCUAGAUGAUGAAGGACCUGUGGCUCCAACAUCGCUGCUGCCCACCCUCCAACAGCCAGCCAACCCCAGAAACAAAAGAGCAUACCUGACGGCAGCUGAUCACGUAAAUGAUUUGAAAUAUACCCAUGAACAUGCCAAGCCAUCAUUUCAGGUGAACAGGAAAUUCUGACUUUAAAAAGAAAUGAUCAGUGUACCCGGGCAAAGACCCAGUGCAUCUCACCUUUUCCAGCUUUCCGUAAAGAACUCCGUUCUGAACUGUAGAUCCUGAAA